AAGCUCGUAGUUGAAUUUCGGGAUCGACGGGUCGGUCGCGCCUCUGGUGUGUACUGGCCCUGUCGGUUUCUCCCUUCUGACGAACCACGAUGUCAUUAAUUUGGUGUCGUGGGGAAUCAGGACUGUUACUUUGAAAAAAUUAGAGUGUUUAAAGCAAGCAUUCACUUGAAUACAUUAGCAUGGAAUAAUGAAAUAGGACGUUUGAUCUUAUUUUGUUGGUUUCUAAGAUCGACGUAAUGAUUAAUAGGGAUAGUUGGG
This 258-nucleotide ribosomal RNA is filed under the name uncultured Glomus. RNAcentral's name for it is "partial 18S ribosomal RNA". It matches the Rfam family "Eukaryotic small subunit ribosomal RNA", at positions 624 to 886 of the family's 1831-position model. Lineage: Eukaryota; Fungi; Glomeromycota; Glomeromycetes; Glomerales; Glomeraceae. The record is from RNAcentral.